Molecule: ribosomal RNA, 465 nt
Filed under: uncultured bacterium
Lineage: Bacteria
Description: bacterial SSU rRNA
Rfam family: Bacterial small subunit ribosomal RNA
Source: RNAcentral
CCUACGGGUGGCAGCAGUGGGGAAUAUUGCACAAUGGGCGCAAGCCUGAUGCAGCCAUGCCGCGUGCAUGAAGAAGGCCUUCGGGUUGUAAAGUACUUUCAGCGGGGAGGAAGGCGAUAAGGUUAAUAACCUUGUCGAUUGACGUUACCCGCAGAAGAAGCACCGGCUAACUCCGUGCCAGCAGCCGCGGUAAUACGGAGGGUGCAAGCGUUAAUCGGAAUUACUGGGCGUAAAGCGCACGCAGGCGGUCUGUUAAGUCGGAUGUGAAAUCCCCGGGCUCAACCUGGGAACUGCAUUAGAAACUGGCAGGCUAGAGUCUUGUAGAGGGGGGUAGAACUCCAGGUGUAGCGGUGAAAUGCGUAGAGACCUGGAGGAAUACCGGUGGCGAAGGCGGCCCCCUGGACAAAGACUGACGCUCAGGUGCGAAAGCGUGGGGAGCAAACAGGAUUAGAUACCCGCGUAGUC